This 511-nucleotide ribosomal RNA is filed under the name Bacillus sp. (in: firmicutes). RNAcentral describes it as "bacterial SSU rRNA". It matches the Rfam family "Bacterial small subunit ribosomal RNA", at positions 397 to 899 of the family's 1533-position model. The record is from RNAcentral. Lineage: Bacteria; Bacillati; Bacillota; Bacilli; Caryophanales; Bacillaceae.
CCGCGUGAGUGAUGAAGGUUUUCGGAUCGUAAAACUCUGUUGUUAGGGAAGAACAAGUACCGGAGUAACUGCCGGUACCUUGACGGUACCUAACCAGAAAGCCACGGCUAACUACGUGCCAGCAGCCGCGGUAAUACGUAGGUGGCAAGCGUUGUCCGGAAUUAUUGGGCGUAAAGCGCGCGCAGGCGGUUCCUUAAGUCUGAUGUGAAAGCCCCCGGCUCAACCGGGGAGGGUCAUUGGAAACUGGGGAACUUGAGUGCAGAAGAGAAGAGUGGAAUUCCACGUGUAGCGGUGAAAUGCGUAGAGAUGUGGAGGAACACCAGUGGCGAAGGCGACUCUUUGGUCUGUAACUGACGCUGAGGCGCGAAAGCGUGGGGAGCAAACAGGAUUAGAUACCCUGGUAGUCCACGCCGUAAACGAUGAGUGCUAAGUGUUAGAGGGUUUCCGCCCUUUAGUGCUGCAGCAAACGCAUUAAGCACUCCGCCUGGGGAGUACGGCCGCAAGGCUGAAA